UUGGGCAAUGGACGAGAGUCUGACCCAGCCAUGCCGCGUGCAGGAAGACGGCCUAUUGGGUUGUAAACUGCUUUUAUCUGGGAAGAAAAGGCCCAUGCGUGGGACAUUGCCGGUACCAGAUGAAUAAGCACCGGCUAACUCCGUGCCAGCAGCCGCGGUAAUACGGAGGGUGCAGGCGUUGUCCGGAUUUAUUGGGUUUAAAGGGUGCGUAGGCGGCCAAUUAAGUCAGUGGUGAAAGACUUCGGCUCAACCGGAGCAGUGCCAUUGAUACUGGUUGGCUUGAGUGCUGCAGGGGUACAUGGAAUUGAUGGUGUAGCGGUGAAAUGCAUAGAUACCAUCAGGAACACCGAUAGCGAAGGCAUUGUACUGGGCAGCAACUGACGCUGAUGCACGAAAGCAUGGGUAGCGAACAGGAUUAGAUACCCUGGUAGUCCAUGCCGUAAACGAUGAUUACUCGCUGUUAUGCCUAUAUGGUGUAGCGGCCAAGCGAAAGCGUUAAGUAAUCCACCUGGGGA
This 515-nucleotide ribosomal RNA is filed under the name uncultured Flexibacteraceae bacterium. RNAcentral describes it as "bacterial SSU rRNA". It matches the Rfam family "Bacterial small subunit ribosomal RNA", at positions 364 to 879 of the family's 1533-position model. The record is from RNAcentral. Lineage: Bacteria; Pseudomonadati; Bacteroidota; Cytophagia; Cytophagales; Cytophagaceae.